AAGAAUCAAAUAUAACCUUUGAGGAUGCUGCUGGCCUUUUUUGUGGGCAGGUGCACUCCUCACAUGUGUUCUAUUUUGACCACUGUUCACAAACCAUGUGCACCCUUUGUAGGUUCGGGCCCUUGGCUCCGACAACCUAUGUUUUCCGCUUUUUCGCACCCAUGAAAAUCAUAUUUGGUUUGAAUGUUCUUUUUUGGAUAAUGCA
This 205-nucleotide unclassified non-coding RNA is filed under the name uncultured Agaricomycetes. RNAcentral's name for it is "sequence contains ITS1". Lineage: Eukaryota; Fungi; Basidiomycota; Agaricomycetes. The record is from RNAcentral.